AUGGAAAAGAAGAGGAACAGAGAAGAACAUAAGAGCAGAGAAGAGGAAGCUUCUAACCUGACGAUCAAAGAUCAAAUGAGCUUUACAAAGGAUGAGAUGCAUACUGCAGAGCUGAAACGGAAGAAAAAGAAGAAGAUCAAGAACCGUCGUGAAGCAGAAGAAGUUUUGCAGGAAAAUGGAAAAUCUGACAUGAGAGCCAAGGAGGAUUUAGACAUUUUGGGAAAAAGAAAGAGGGAAAUAACUGACAGUGAAGAAACGGAGCAGAUCCAGGCUGACACAGCUUUUAAUCCUCCUAAUGAGGAUGCUCAGGUGAGUAAAAAAAAGAAGAAAAAGUCAAAAAUAAUAAAGCUGUCAUUGGAACGGAUGGACGAAACAAGCAAGUGUUUGGAAGAUGCUGCUGCUCCUCAGGAAACAUCAGAGAAACCUGAGUCUGUAUUUAAUGAUGAUCCAACUGGAGAAGUGACUGAAGCAGUGACUAAUAAUACACACACCAGUUCACACAUAUCCAUGAAGAAGAAAAAGAAGAAGAAGAGUAGCCCUCAGUUUGUGGGUGUCCUGCUUAAUCAGGAUGAGGAGGAGGAGGAACCGCCCCAGAAACCAGCAGAGGGCGCUGAUAGUGCUUAUUUGGUGACUAAAAAGAGGAAAAAGAAGAAGAAAUCAAGUAUUUCCAUCUGCAGUGAAGCCUUGGCUGGAACUGAGGAUUCGGAGUGUGUCACCGCUUCCUCUCCUCAUGCUGAUGCAGAGGAAAAAGCCCUCAGCGGCCCCCGUGAUCCAACAUCAGCAGAAAUUAGUACAAGUUUAGAGGAAGACAAUGUGCUCAGGAAAAAGAAGAAGAAAAAGAAGAAAAUAGAGGCAGCUGAGAGGAAGGAUGAUGAGGAAACACAUCCAUGCCAGAGUGGAGAUGGAAUAGAGGUCAACAGGAAAAAGAAGGGGAAGAGAGAGACGCUGACCCUCACUGAAGCCCCCCACAGUGCUGCUGAUGUAGACGUGCUGGGAAAGAAGAAGAAAAGAGCACGAGAGCUUUCAGCUUUGACUGAUAAUGACUCAGUGAGGGUACCUGAGUCCACUCUGGCCUGCAGCUCACAAACAUCUCAGACAGAGCAGACCUCAGAUACACCCGGGAACGUGACAGGGGAGAGAAAAAGCAAAGCAUUGAAAUCAGAUUGUGUCAGUUCUGCACUGACUGUCACACACAGGAAGAACAAACAAGGCAAACGAAGACUUCAUAACCCGUGUGAAGACUUUCUAUCAGAGGGUUAG
RNAcentral lists this long non-coding RNA (1260 nucleotides) under Gouania willdenowi (blunt-snouted clingfish). RNAcentral's name for it is "lncRNA (ENSGWIG00000011252.1)". The record is from RNAcentral. Lineage: Eukaryota; Metazoa; Chordata; Actinopteri; Blenniiformes; Gobiesocidae.